CAUGGAUUAGGCAUGCAAGUCGAACGAAGUAGCAAUACUUAGUGGCGCAAGGGUGAGGAACGCGUGAGUGACCUACCCGCAAGUUUGGAACAGCUCCUGGAAACGGGAAUUAAUACCGGAUGUGAUCAAUGAGCUGCAUGGUUUAUUGAUUAAAGCAGUAAUGCGCUUGCGGAUGGGCUCGCGUCCCAUUAGCUAGUUGGUGAGGUAACGGCCCACCAAGGCCAUGAUGGGUAGCUGGUCUGAGAGGACGACCAGCCACACUGGGACUGAGAACUGCCCAGACUCCUACGGGAGGCUGCAGUCGAGAAUUUUGGGCAAUGGACGAAAGUCUUGACCCAGCAAUGCCGCGUGCGGGAUGAAGGUCUUCGGAUUGUAAACCGCUGUUUGGAGGGACGAAAAUUGACGGUACUUCCAGAGAAAGCCACGGCUAACUACGUGCCAGCCGCGGC
Molecule: ribosomal RNA, 449 nt
Filed under: uncultured bacterium
Lineage: Bacteria
Description: bacterial SSU rRNA
Rfam family: Bacterial small subunit ribosomal RNA
Source: RNAcentral